CCUCACAGUUCACUGCCGUGGUAUUUCUUCUGUCCCAUGCUUUGCAUGACUGCCAUGGUACAGCCUUGUUUCAAACUGUUCACUGUGAUCUGUGGGUCUUUGAGUUUCAGUGAGUUUGCUGAAAUGUCGAAGAAAUAUUUCCAAACUUCAAUGUUCAAUGAAAUUUUUGUUCAAGUUUGAAAUGGAGAGAGCAGCUUUAAAAGGUACUAAGCCUUUUACAAAUUGAUGUGGAAGAUGUGAAAUUUGUCAUCAAUUAUGACUACCCUAACUCCUCAGAGGAUUAUAUUCAUCGAAUUGGAAGAACUGCUCGCAGUACCAAAACAGGCACAGCAUACACUUUCUUUACACCUAAUAACAUAAAGCAAGUGAGCGACCUUAUCUCUGUGCUUCGUGAAGCUAAUCAAGCAAUUAAUCCCAAGUUGCUUCAGUUGGUCGAAGACAGAGGUUCAGGUCGUUCCAGGGGUAGAGGAGGCAUGAAGGAUGACCGUCGGGACAGAUACUCUGCGGGCAAAAGGGGUGGAUUUAAUACCUUUAGAGACAGGGAAAAUUAUGACAGAGGUUACUCUAGCCUGCUUAAAAGAGAUUUUGGGGC
This 592-nucleotide small RNA is filed under the name Pongo abelii (Sumatran orangutan). RNAcentral's name for it is "processed transcript". Lineage: Eukaryota; Metazoa; Chordata; Mammalia; Primates; Hominidae. The record is from RNAcentral.